UAAAAUACCUCCUGUGGAAACACUAUUAAGCUGCCCAUUAAACAGAUGGGGACACCAAGCCCAAAAGGAUGAAGUGACGUGUCCUGGGCCACCGCCAAAAUGGUGACAGAGCGAAACCUGAGUAUCCUGGCUUGGAGCUCUCCUAAGUAUUUGAAACUGGAGUGGAUCUCAGGUUACACAUGCAAAUCUGCUGGCAGAUAAGUGGCCCCAACCCAGGCUGAUCUCAGGACUUAUCACCUGGCUGAUUAAUACCUGAAUAUCAGGGCAGCGCUUCUGGAAAUGCCUCUGUCUCCCUCUGUGCACAGUCUCCGAAUUUCAUCCAGGUACAAUUCUUAGUUGCUAGACUUGCAUUUGAUAAGAAUUGGCUGUCCAGGGAACUUAAAAAGUCGCCCUUGGCUUCUGAGACUCAGUUCAGAUAUUUCUUGAGUGUUUACUGUGGGUCGAGCAUGCACCAGGCAUGGGAGCUACCCAGAGAUGAAGGAACUAUCUCCCUGCCCUGCCCUCCGGGAGUUCCCAGUUGAAUCAGACAGAUAGAAGACAUUCCCUUGCUCAAGAAUAAUUGCUUAAAGAUGGACAAAAAUGAUAAAAGCCAGUGUUGGUGACGGUGCAGGGAAACAGUCCCUCUCAUCCCCUGAUGGUGAGAAGGGAACUUGGCACAUUUCUGGAGCGCAGUUUGGUACAGGUAUCAAAAGUCAUAAAAUUGUGUCAACCCUUAAAACCCUGAAAUUCUACUUCUUGAAAUUGGCCCCAAGGAAGCAAUUAUAGCUGGGUACAAAGAUUUAGCCACAGUUAUGUUAAUGCGGCAUUGUUUAUAAUAAUUCA
This is a non-coding RNA of Ceratotherium simum simum (southern white rhinoceros), 822 nucleotides long. The record is from RefSeq and is a predicted model, not a curated record. Lineage: Eukaryota; Metazoa; Chordata; Mammalia; Perissodactyla; Rhinocerotidae.